Molecule: ribosomal RNA, 453 nt
Filed under: uncultured bacterium
Lineage: Bacteria
Description: partial 16S ribosomal RNA
Rfam family: Bacterial small subunit ribosomal RNA
Source: RNAcentral
GAUGAACGCUGGCGGUCUGCUUAACACAUGCAAGACGAACGGAAUCCUUCGGGAUUUAGUGGCGGACGGGUGAGUAACGCGUGAGAAUCUGCCUACAGGUUCGGGACAACAGCUGGAAACGGCUGCUAAUACAGGACGUGCAGAAAGGCGAAAGCUUUCGGGCCUGAAGAUGAGCUCGCGUAUGAUUAGCGAGUAGGAGUGGUAAUGGAACCCCUAGGCGAGAGUCAGGAGCUGGUCUGAGUGGAUGAAGAGCCACACUGGGACUGAGACAGGGCCCAGACUCCUACUGAAGGCAGCAGUGGGGAAUUUUCCGCAAUGGGCGCAAGCCUGACGGAGCAAGACCGCGUGAGGGAAGAAGGUCUGUGGAUUGUAAACCUCUUUUGAUGGGGAAGAAGACAGUGACGGUACCCAUCGAAUCAGCCUCGGCUAACUCCGUGCCAGCCGCCGCAGUAA